RNAcentral lists this ribosomal RNA (429 nucleotides) under Bacteroidota bacterium. RNAcentral's name for it is "Bacteroidetes bacterium partial 16S ribosomal RNA". It matches the Rfam family "Bacterial small subunit ribosomal RNA", at positions 355 to 776 of the family's 1533-position model. Lineage: Bacteria; Pseudomonadati; Bacteroidota. The record is from RNAcentral.
UAGGGAAUCUUCCGCAAUGGACGCAAGUCUGACGGAGCAACGCCGCGUGAGUGAAGAAGGAUUUCGGUUCGUAAAACUCUGUUGUUAGAGAAGAACAGCGCAUAGAGUAACUGUUAUGCGUGUGACGGUAUCUAACCAGAAAGCCACGGCUAACUACGUGCCAGCAGCCGCGGUAAUACGUAGGUUGCAAGCGUUGUCCGGAUUUAUUGGGCGUAAAGCGAGCGCAGGCGGUCAAUUAAGUCUGAUGUGAAAGCCCCCGGCUCAACCGGGGAGGGUCAUUGGAAACUGGUUGACUUGAGUGCAGAAGAGGAGAGUGGAAUUCCAUGUGUAGCGGUGAAAUGCGUAGAUAUAUGGAGGAACACCAGUGGCGAAGGCGACUCUCUGGUCUGUAACUGACGCUGAGGCUCGAAAGCGUGGGUAGCAAACAGG